Molecule: ribosomal RNA, 433 nt
Filed under: uncultured bacterium
Lineage: Bacteria
Description: partial 16S ribosomal RNA
Rfam family: Bacterial small subunit ribosomal RNA
Source: RNAcentral
AACGAACGCUUGCGGCAGGCCUAACACAUGCAAGUCGAGCGAGACCUUCGGGUCUAGCGGCGGACGGGUGAGUAACGCGUGGGAACGUGCCCUUUUCUACGGAAUAGCCUCGGGAAACUGAGCGUAAUACCGUAUACGCCCUUUGGGGGAAAGAUUUAUCGGAGAAGGAUCGGCCCGCGUUGGAUUAGGUAGUUGGUGGGGUAAUGGCCUACCAAGCCUACGAUCCAUAGCUGGUUUGAGAGGAUGAUCAGCCACACUGGGACUGAGACACGGCCCAGACUCCUACGGGAGGCAGCAGUGGGGAAUCUUAGACAAUGGGGGCAACCCUGAUCUAGCCAUGCCGCGUGAGUGAUGAAGGCCUUAGGGUUGUAAAGCUCUUUCAGCUGGGAAGAUAAUGACGGUACCAGCAGAAGAAGCCCCGGCUAACUCCGUG